CCUACGGGGGGCAGCAGUGAGGAAUAUUGGUCAAUGGCCGGAAGGCUGAACCAGCCAUGCCGCGUGAAGGUCAGUGCCCUAUGGGCGUUAAACUUCUUUUGUGCGGGAGCAAUAAUGGUCACGUGUGGCCAGACGAGAGUACCGUACGAAUAAGCAUCGGCUAACUCCGUGCCAGCAGCCGCGGUAAUACGGGGGAUGCAAGCGUUAUCCGGAUUUAAUGGGGUUAAAGGGUGCGUAGGCUGUGGGGUAAGUCAGCGGGGAAAUGCCCCCGCUCAACGGGGUGAAGUGCCAUUGAUACUGCCUUGCUGGAAUGCGGAUGCCGUGGGAGGAAUGUGUGGUGUAGCGGUGAAAUGCAUAGAUAUCACACAGAACACCGAUUGCGAAGGCAUCUCACGAAUCCGCGAUUGACGCUGAUGCACGAAAGCGUGGGUAUCAAACAGGAUUAGAUACCCGGGUAGUC
Molecule: ribosomal RNA, 460 nt
Filed under: uncultured bacterium
Lineage: Bacteria
Description: partial 16S ribosomal RNA
Rfam family: Bacterial small subunit ribosomal RNA
Source: RNAcentral